Molecule: ribosomal RNA, 445 nt
Filed under: uncultured bacterium
Lineage: Bacteria
Description: partial 16S ribosomal RNA
Rfam family: Bacterial small subunit ribosomal RNA
Source: RNAcentral
GUGAGGAAUAUUGGUCAAUGGGCGGGAGCCUGAACCAGCCAAGUCGCGUGAAGGAAGAAGGAUCUAUGGUUCGUAAACUUCUUUUGCAGGGGAAUAAAGUGCAGGACGUGUCCUGUUUUGUAUGUACCCUGAGAAUAAGGAUCGGCUAACUCCGUGCCAGCAGCCGCGGUAAUACGGAGGAUCCGAGCGUUAUCCGGAUCUAUUGGGUUUAAAGGGUGCGUAGGUGGGUUGAUAAGUCAGCGGUGAAAGUUUGCAGCUUAACUGUAAAAAUGCCGUUGAAACUGUCGGACUUGAGUGUAAAUGAGGUAGGCGGAAUGCGUGGUGUAGCGGUGAAAUGCAUAGAUAUCACGCAGAACUCCGAUUGCGAAGGCAGCUUACUAAGCUACAACUGACACUGAAGCACGAAAGCGUGGGGAUCAAACAGGAUUAGAAACCCUUGUAGUCC